Molecule: long non-coding RNA, 217 nt
Organism: Phyllostomus discolor (pale spear-nosed bat)
Lineage: Eukaryota; Metazoa; Chordata; Mammalia; Chiroptera; Phyllostomidae
Exons: 4
Source: RefSeq, a predicted model, not a curated record
UAUUUAAUAAAGUUUCCUUUUUCAAGAUGUACAGCUGGUGGGACAUGUUGUUCAUGCAUCUUCACCAAUAGCUGGGGCAUCCCCACCUUUGGUGUUUCUUGUGUAAAUUACUUAAGCUCUGUGCUUUGAAACUAGUUGAAUAAAUCCUUUACUAAGGAGCUCCUGAAGGGCUGCCCUGGCCAAGGAACUAGUAACCUAGUUUCAAAGCACUGAGCUA